This 73-nucleotide transfer RNA is filed under the name bacterium. RNAcentral describes it as "tRNA-Glu". It matches the Rfam family "tRNA". Rfam says of the family: Transfer RNA (tRNA) molecules are approximately 80 nucleotides in length. Their secondary structure includes four short double-helical elements and three loops (D, anti-codon, and T loops). The record is from RNAcentral.
GACCCGUUCGUCUACCGGCCGAGGACGCCGGUUUUUCACACCGGAGGACGGGGUUCGACUCCCCGACGGGUUA